This 497-nucleotide ribosomal RNA is filed under the name uncultured bacterium. Its description in RNAcentral is "partial 16S ribosomal RNA". It matches the Rfam family "Bacterial small subunit ribosomal RNA", at positions 28 to 507 of the family's 1533-position model. The record is from RNAcentral.
GAUGAACGCUGGCGGCGUGCCUAAUACAUGCAAGUCGAGCGAACAGACGAGGAGCUUGCUCCUCUGACGUUAGCGGCGGACGGGUGAGUAACACGUGGAUAACCUACCUAUAAGACUGGGAUAACUUCGGGAAACCGGAGCUAAUCCCGGAUAAUAUAUUGAACCGCAUUGGUCAAUAGUGAAAGACGGUUUUGCUGUCACUUAUAGAUGGAUCCGCGCCGCAUUAGCUAGUUGGUAAGGUAACGGCUUACCAAGGCAAGGAUGCGUAGCCGACCUGAGAGGGUGAUCGGCCACACUGGAACUGAGACACGGUCAAGACUCCUGCGAGAGGCCGCAGUAGGGAAUCUUCCGCAAUGGGCGAAAGCCUGACGGAACAACGCCGCGUGAGUGAUGAAGGUCUUCGGAUCGGAAAACUCUGUUAUUAGGGAAGAACAAAUGUGUAAGUAACUAUGCACGUAUUGACGGUAACUAAUCAGAAAGCCACGGCUAACUACGUG